Molecule: small RNA, 125 nt
Filed under: Marmota monax (woodchuck)
Lineage: Eukaryota; Metazoa; Chordata; Mammalia; Rodentia; Sciuridae
Source: RNAcentral
GCCAGGCAUGUUGGCACAUGCCUGUAAUCCCAGCGGCUUCGGAGGUGGAGGCAGGAGGAUCUGGAGUUCAAAGUCAGCCUCAGCAAAAGCAGGGCGCUAAGCAAUUCAAUGAGAUCCUGUCUCUA